RNAcentral lists this ribosomal RNA (253 nucleotides) under uncultured bacterium. Its description in RNAcentral is "partial 16S ribosomal RNA". It matches the Rfam family "Bacterial small subunit ribosomal RNA", at positions 524 to 776 of the family's 1533-position model. The record is from RNAcentral.
UACGUAGGGUGCAAGCGUUAAUCGGAAUUACUGGGCGUAAAGCGUGCGCAGGCGGUCUUGCAAGACAGAUGUGAAAUCCCCGGGCUUAACCUGGGAACUGCAUUUGUGACUGCAAGGCUGGAGUGCGGCAGAGGGGGAUGGAAUUCCGCGUGUAGCAGUGAAAUGCGUAGAUAUGCGGAGGAACACCGAUGGCGAAGGCAAUCCCCUGGGCCUGCACUGACGCUCAUGCUCGAAAGCGUGGGGAGCAAACAGG